This 301-nucleotide ribosomal RNA is filed under the name uncultured bacterium. RNAcentral's name for it is "partial 16S ribosomal RNA". It matches the Rfam family "Bacterial small subunit ribosomal RNA", at positions 509 to 808 of the family's 1533-position model. The record is from RNAcentral.
CAGUCGCCGCGGGAAUACGGAGGGGGCAAGCGUUAUCCGGAAUUAUUGGGCGUAAAGGGUACGUAGGUGGCCUUUUAAGCGUAGGGUAUAAGGCAAUGGCUCAACCAUUGUUCGCCCUAUGAACUGGAAGGCUUGAGUGCAGGAGAGGAAAGCGGAAUUCCUAGUGUAGCGGUGGAAUGCAUAGAUAUUAGGAGGAACAUCAGCGGCGAAGGCGGCUUUCUGGACUACAACUGACACUGAGGUACGAAAGCGUGGGGAGCAAACAGGAUUAGAUACCCGAGUAGUCCCUGUCUCUUAUACA